UUCAAUUCGACGCAACGCGAAGAACCUUACCCAGGCUCGAACGGCACCUGACAUCCGGCGAAAGCCGGCUCCCGCAAGGGCAGGUGUCGAGGUGCUGCAUGGCUGUCGUCAGCUCGUGUCGUGAGAUGUUGGGUUAAGUCCCGCAACGAGCGCAACCCUUGUCCGCUGUUGCCAUCAGGUUAUGCUGGGCACUCUGCGGAGACUGCCGGUGAUAAACCGGAGGAAGGUGGGGAUGACGUCAAGUCAGCAUGGCCUUUAUGUCUGGGGCUACACACGUGCUACAAUGGCCGGUACAAACCGUCGCGAUCUCGCAAGAGGGAGCUAAUCGGAGAAAGCCGGUCUCAGUUCGGAUUGCAGGCUGCAACUCGCCUGCAUGAAGUUGGAAUCGCUAGUAAUCGCGGAUCAGCACGCCG
RNAcentral lists this ribosomal RNA (413 nucleotides) under uncultured bacterium. Its description in RNAcentral is "bacterial SSU rRNA". It matches the Rfam family "Bacterial small subunit ribosomal RNA", at positions 945 to 1359 of the family's 1533-position model. The record is from RNAcentral.